GAUUGCACUUUAUCAUCGACCUCUCUGCAAUCGCGGCUG
This 39-nucleotide non-coding RNA is filed under the name unclassified sequences. Its description in RNAcentral is "S4-Bacteroidia ribosomal protein leader". It matches the Rfam family "S4-Bacteroidia ribosomal protein leader". The record is from RNAcentral.